CACGUAGGAGCCAAGCGUUAUCCGAAUUCACUGGGCGUAAAGCGCGUGCAGGCGGCACGGCAAGUUGGAUGUGAAAGCUCCUGGCUCAACUGGGAGAGGACGUUCAAGACUGUCGAGCUAGAGGACGGCAGAGGGAGGUGGAAUUCCCGGUGUAGUGGUGAAAUGCGUAGAUAUCGGGAGGAACACCAGUGGCGAAGGCGGCCUUCUGGGCCGUACCUGACGCUCAGACGCGAAAGCUAGGGGAGCAAACGGG
Molecule: ribosomal RNA, 253 nt
Filed under: uncultured bacterium
Lineage: Bacteria
Description: partial 16S ribosomal RNA
Rfam family: Bacterial small subunit ribosomal RNA
Source: RNAcentral